Molecule: long non-coding RNA, 1780 nt
Filed under: Gossypium barbadense (sea-island cotton)
Lineage: Eukaryota; Viridiplantae; Streptophyta; Magnoliopsida; Malvales; Malvaceae
Description: long non-coding RNA (GBAR_LNC004295)
Source: RNAcentral
UUUGUUUUUCUACUUGAAUAUUUUCUGAAGUCUUUGUAAUUUCUUCUAAGUUUGCACUUGUGUUCCACUUGUUUUCUAUUCUACAAUUUUUUUCAAGGUUUACCUUUAAUUGAUCUAGCUUUGAAGUUGGUAGUAUUUUCCCCAUAUCUUUUAGUUUCUUUUGCUUGUGUUUCAUUCUUUUCAAAUUAUCGUUCGAAAACGAUGGCACACAAAAGGCCUUAUGAUGUCCCUAUUGAAAAUGAUGAAUUCAGAUGUACUACUACCAUGGAGGAUAUAUGGCAUCUACUCAAAUGCAGGGAGAUGGAAUGUUUUUCUAACUUUAAAUACAAGUUUUCAAUCCCCAAAAGGAAACACUGUUUAAGCGAAGUGGGUUUGAAAGAGGAUGAUUCACUGUACUUUUUGGUACCACUAUUGUAUUUGAGGUAGGUUUUAAUUUGUCACUGCAUCCUUUCUUUUUGUAGGUUAUAAAUUCUUACGAGGUUGCACGGGGUCAACUGACGGGGAUUUUUGGUUGGCUUUCUUUGCUCUUUUUUAUAUAUAUUGUCGCCAAAAGGAAAAAGAACCUUUAGUUGAUGUGUUUAGAAGAGCUUUUAUAUAUAUAUAUAUUUAGGGGCAAAGUAAAAAAAAAAUUAGGGGGGCCAAAAUUAAAUUGUAAUUUAUACGAUAGUAAAAAUACAAUUUCACCAUUUUAAUAGCCUAUAUCUUUAUAAUUUUUAAAGGAUUAAAUCAAAAUUUUAUCAUUUUUAGGGGCCUAAAUGGAAAAUUUUCCAUUUUUGAGGGGCCUUGCUAGCCCUCUAGCUAUGCAUAUGUAUAUAUUAUCUCCUACUGGUGAAGUUUAGCAUAAGGUCUUUAUGAUGCUGAUAGCUAGCAAAGGCAUGACAACGAUGCUAGACGACCUCUGAAAUAAUAUGCAUUUAGUGAGAGAAAAUUACAUUAAAGUUCAACAAUUAUGCAGCGAUGGAUUUCCAUUCCCAAUUCCUGGUACAAGCUUAGUAAUGAUCAAAAUACAUUGAAGCCCAUUUUGGAAACCAAUUCGGAGAUGCACUUGUAUUAACGCUUAUGCGAAGGUUCACUGAUAAAGGUGGAAAACACUCAUAACUUGUACCAUAUAUGGAAAUAUUGCCUGAUGAGGAGGAGCCUAGAUAUUAUGGGAUAAAACAAACUUUAACAUAAUUGGUAGCAACCUAUUGAUGAUGUCAAACCAUGCAACAAGGUGUGGCCUCAUGGCAUAUGGGAUGUUAGCAAUGUUUUAUUAGGUUUGUAGCAGGAACUUAAGGAUUUUUUAUGAGAUGCCCAUUGUCCUGAGUGAAAAUGGGAUUAUAGAAGUAAACAAAAGGCAGAGUACAUAGAGAAUCUGAAGAAACAAAAAGACCAACACUACAACUUCAGAGAAGGAUAGUUGUAGUUGGCGAAAGCUCCUAUGGUAGAAGUUCUAAAGACGCUGGAUCUCACGCAUGACCUGAGACAGACUUUAUUAUGAUUUUCUUGUGCAUGCUACUUACUUUUUGUACGAGCGAGCGUAUUUAUUGCUAAGCAAAGAAAUUAUGAAUUUAUAUAAUGGAUAAAUAUGGGGAUAUGGAAAAGGUUCAACCUAUGAAUGUUUGUUUGAGGGAUCUUUUUCUGGAUGUGUUGCUUCUACGCAAUGCUAACUUCUCUUCUGAUACCAGUUCUGGUGUGUGUAAAGAUUUAUAAUAUUUUUUGAUUUGAUGUUUCAUACAAAAGUAACUUGGUCAUUUUGCAGAAGGUGACAUCGAAAAAGGAUGAAGAAAGAUGAUUGAAA